Molecule: ribosomal RNA, 445 nt
Filed under: uncultured bacterium
Lineage: Bacteria
Description: partial 16S ribosomal RNA
Rfam family: Bacterial small subunit ribosomal RNA
Source: RNAcentral
ACCAGACUCCUACGGGAGGCAGCAGUGGGGAAUAUUGCACAAUGGGGGAAACCCUGAUGCAGCGACGCCGCGUGAGUGAAGAAGUAUUUCGGUAUGUAAAGCUCUAUCAGCAGGAAAGAAAAUGACGGUACCUGACUAAGAAGCCCCGGCUAACUACGUGCCAGCAGCCGCGGUAAUACGUAGGGGGCAAGCGUUAUCCGGAUUUACUGGGUGUAAAGGGAGCGUAGACGGUGAAGCAAGUCUGAAGUGAAAGGCGGGGGCUCAACCCCCGGACUGCUUUGGAAACUGUUUGACUGGAGUGCAGGAGAGGUAAGUGGAAUUCCUAGUGUAGCGGUGAAAUGCGUAGAUAUUAGGAGGAACACCAGUGGCGAAGGCGGCCUGCUGGGCUUUAACUGACGCUGAGGCUCGAAAGUGUGGGUAGCAAACAGGAUUAGAUACCCUAGUA